UUUCAUCCAAGUCAUGAAUAUAAUCAUAAAUUUUGAGGUCGCAAUUCUUGGAUCAAUCCACUGGUUACAGUUUGGCAACCUGAAAAUGAUUCAUUUAUCCUGACUUUUACCUGUUAGUUAGCCAUUCCUCUAGCCAUGCUAAUCUAUCACUGCCAACAUCAUAGAUUCUUAGCUUUUCCAGUAGAAACUUGCGUAGCUCCUUAUUGAAUGCCUUUUGAAAAUCCAUAAAUACUCCAUCUACAGCUUUCCCUUUAUCUUCAAAGAGCUUAGAGUUGUCAAAUACAAAUUUCCUUUCACACAAUCAGGCAACCUUGUCUCAUGAUUUUCUAAAUGUACCUCCUGAAUAAUGGUUCUAAUAUUUUGCCGAUAAUAAAUGUUAGACUAGCUGACCUAUAGUUUCCCAUUUCUGUCUACCUCCUUUCUUGAACAAUGUUGCAUUUGCGGUUUUCCAGUAUGCUGGGGCCUUUCCAGAAUUUGGGGAAUUUUGGAAGAUUAUAAACAAUGCAUUCGCUAUAUCUGCAGCUACUUCUUUUAAGGUGUGUGGUGGCAGGUUAUCAGGUCCAGGGAACUUAACAGCCUUAAGUUCUGCUAGUUUCCCUAUCACUUUUACUCUGGUGACAUUAAUUUGUUUUAAUUCCUCCAUCCCUUUCAUCUCUUCAGUUUGGAAUGCUUCUCACAGAUCUUCUUCUAUGGAUAUGAAAUAACUGCACAAAGGCCAGUAUCCCAUCACCAAGUCACCUUUUAUUUACGUGUGCACAGUGCAUGGGCUCUGACCAGCCAGUUAAGAGCCAGUUCCUAGAAAAAGGAUACUGUCUGAAUCUCCUGUUUAUCUGUCAGUCAGGACUCUCUGAUGGGCCCAGGUUAACAACCCCAAUCAAGGAUCUGUCAGUAAGAUCAACCUGGCCCUUGUUCCAAUCACUACAGAGUACAAAUGCAAAAUAGUUCAAAGCUUCUGCCUCUUCUUGUGUCCCAUUAGUAAUUCCCUAGUUUCAUCCUCUAGGUGACCAAUGCUCACUUUAACUACUCCUCUUAUUUACUUGUCGAAGCAUUUACUGUCGGUUUAUAUAACAUAUAUAUAGUUUCCUCUCGUACUUUUCUUUCUUUUUUAGACAUCCUUUGCCGAUUCCUGAACUUCAGAUCUUCAAAUCAAAUAUUAUUAUUUGUCAUGAGUUUUGUACAAUGCCAGUUUAAGAAGAUAGGAAGAAAUAUCGGACUUUGAAACUAGAAUGCUACUGUAUGAAGGGAACGCAGACUGCAUGAUUGUUCUAUGAAGGGAAACUUAAAGCAUUGAUAUUGCUUAUAUCCAUUUCAGCUUUUAAGCCAGUUCAUGUCCUCCAUUUCUAAACCUUUGAGUGCAUAAAUGCAAAUUUUUAAUAACUCCAUUACUUGUUAGCAUCUCCCUCCAAAAGGUAAGUUAUCUUACAAAGUGCAAAUCUACAAUUAAAAGUGCUUUGGUGUAAUUUGAAUUGGGUAGUAUCCAUUUAUGAUUCGCGAUAAACCCACGGUAAUUGUAGGUUAGCUAAGAAAUUGAGGAUGCUAACGACAAAUUAAAAAGUUUGUUAUCUCCAUCAGAAAAUGCAUGAUCUGCCUAUGGGCACCAUCCACAAAGCAUGUGAAUCCAUAAAGUAAUAAAAGGCAAUGCACUCUGGCAACACCACUUCAGAAUAUAGCACAGACUAGGAGAUACAAAAGACUAUUCAUCUAGGCUAGGAUCCAUUCUAGCAAUAAUGGGAGAUGUUCAGCAAGUGGGUACACAGAUUUAUUUAUUUUAUGUAUUUUGUCUAUGCUGGACGUUUUUGGACAUCUGUAAUCCUAAUGAACAGUGAACUUAACACAGUAUAUGGGAAGGUUAGCAAUCUCUCUAUAUUCCUCCAUUGGGUCUAUAGUGCUUAUUUUUACUACUAUGCUGUAAGCGCAGGAAUGAGUCUUCAGUUGACUUCAUCCUAUUCUGUUUUACAUAGUAAACAUAGAAGCAAGAGAACUUACCUUAUGUUCCUAUCAGGAAACAGUGCUCACUAAAUCAGCAGCUCUUGAAAAGGCAGUGCUCACUAAAUCCAUGAAUAUAUAACUAUUGCAAAAAUUGGAACAGCUUAGUCCACCUGCAUGGAAUAAAUGGCAUCAUUGAUGUGAGUGACAUGGCAGGCUCUGCGUUGAGGUAUUAUACACACUAGUUUCUGAAGCAGUAUGUCAAAUUUAGCUGUAGUUGUUACUUCCAAUCCUGUUUUGAACUAAGUGACAGCUCUCUUGAUUACUUUCAUUGAGUGUAUUAUGUAAUGAUCCAUUAGCCCAUAAAGGGAAAAUAACUUUUUCUGUCUCUACCUAGAGCCUGUUAAUUUUAAACCAGAGUCCUUUAUAUCUGUGCUCACUGCCUGUAGCUUGUUCCAUCUGCAUCAUAAAGUUAUCUUCUCAACAGCAAUCAAAUAGAUGACCUUUCCACUCAUUAACAGAGGAUAGUCUAUCAGGCAGCAAUUAAGUAAUCAGUUAGCUUGGUUGAGCAGGUCUACGUUGUUACUUGAUUCGAAAAGGACCUACAAAUUCCUUCUCUUGUUUGCUAGUUAAUCUGAAUUUUAGGGUCAUCUAUCCACCUGAUGUGUUAUUUAAGAAUCAGGAGGCAUGGUUUAAAACUUUCAAGCAACACUACGCUAUAGUUACUGAUUAGUCUGUAUUCACUUUUACAGGAUUGCAAGUAUAGGAGCAAUCACUGUUUACGUAAAAAAACAAUCUCAUAGAGACCCACUAGCUGGGUUGCCUGCUGAGAAAAUACAUGCUUGGACGGUUUCGCCCGUGUUCACUUGCAGAGAUUGCUAUCUACCUUGUUUCUGGGUGAUGAGCUUGAAUAUAUCAUUGCCACUUAGCAAAUAAAUAUGUUUCAUACUGACUUGAUUUGGACCUCCAGGAUUGACAUUGAGGAAAUGGGAAUCAUGUGAUCUGUAUUCACCUAGGUGGCAACUGGAAUUAAACCUAUCUCAUAUGUAACUGCAACAAUCAGGAGAUUUCUAGUAACCAUUAAGUAAUUCAAGGGUGCAGUUUCUUUAUUUGGAACCUCCCACCCUAAUCUAAAUAAUUGGUGCCUUGUCUUUUGCCCUCCUGAGUACCAUUCUCCUUAUCCGGAAAUUUUUUAAGAAGGAGGGUAAUAGCCCUCAUUGUUAUUCAGGUUAGUGUGCUUGGGUUACUGCUUCCGAUAGCACUCAAAUCUAGCAAAACGGUCAGCCUAUUUGAAGAAAAUUUAAUGUUUUUGUUUCUCUGAUACUGUGAGAUUCCCAGUAUUAUUAACUAGUGCCACUGAAGAAGUUCCUUAUCUUACUCAGUUACUUUCAUUUGUAAUUGAAUUAUAAAUAAGUUGCCCACUAUAUGCAAGAUCUCAUUCUCAAUUUUAGUAACUGAACAUUGAUAGAGGCCAAAUACAUGAUUUAAAAAUUGUGUGCCUGAGAGGAAUUCUGAAACUAAGUACAACAUUUGUGGUGAUGAAAGUGAAAUCACUUCUUGUAUAAUCUCCCGAUUUAUUACUUUUGCAUUGUAAAUGAUCUGGAAGCCAGUGCAAUUUUUAGAUCAUUGGGAACAUUUUCCCCUGAAAUCUAAUCUCAACUUGCUGUUAUAUACUUGUAACAGCUAACCAAAAAUUAAAUUUGGAUUUUGACACAGUGUUAAGCUUAUAAUGUUAAUAUGUAUCAGAAUUUGAAUAUAUUCCAUAACUUUAUACUUUCCUAAUUUAAAAUAAAUUUGUAAUAGCUACUUGAGUAUUAUACAGAUACAAUGUAAAUAUUGCCUUUUUGGUACAGUUGAAAAUAGAUUAACAUCAUGAUGUCAAUCAGUAUUAUGUUACGGGUGGCAAGUCAGGUUUCCUUGGUGCAAGGUACUUCUACAGCAAUCUCUGAAGAAGUGGCAAAAUACCUAAUUAAGGGUACUUGGCUUAAAUCUAACCACCCUCGCUAAAAAACCACAAUUUUCUGUAAAAUUUAAUUAUUUGUCAACUUUAGCAGAAUUUAUUGACAAUUACUGGUUCCUAGUACUACUGAAUAAAUGUUCAUCCAUGCCCAAUAAUCAAACUGAUUAUCUCUAUCGAGUGUGGAUAUGAUUGUACAUUUUUUUAAAAGACAAACAUAUCUUUGUGAAGCAGAAAUGGAUGUAAGACAAUACUUGAGAGGUCUGUAUAUUUACCAACAAAAAAGCUUUGUUUUUACUUUUUUGUGGCACUCUUAUUAGCACUUCUGGGAUGAGCUGGAUAAUGUAAGUGAAGUAAUUAUUUUUCCUUUUGGGAGUAUAAAGCUCUUGGGGGAAAAUUUAGGCAAAUGUUCUUUACCAGUGAAAUAUCCAGCACUUUAUUCAGCUAAUAUUGUGACCAGUAAUUCCCCUUAAUAUUUGUGAUUUUUUUUUCAGUCAAUUGUCCACCGUACAACUUAAGAGUAUUUACUAAAUGUGUAUAAAAAUGUUCUGUUUACUGUAAAUAUUGAAACUAUUUUCUUACUGUGCAUAUUUUGAACCGUGCAAAAACAAAAGAUAAGCAGCUACUUCCCUUCAUUGAGGAUGUUUUUGGUAGUACAGGCUUGUUCUGAAGGGAGCUUCAGUUGCCUGACCAGCUUUUGGGUCAGUUGUUUUAAAUACAGAAUUUCUAUUCAGAUUUGUAUGGUUUAUAUCUAUUGUAAGUUUCAUUUUUUGGAAAGGUUCAUUUUUUAUAUAUAUGUGUACAUGUAUAUAUACACACAAAUAUAUAUGAAAUGGUAUAAUAUUUUGUUAUAUGUACUAAUUGAGUACAAUCAAAUGAUAACUUCACCACAUGUUUUUGUGGUAGCUGUGUGAAACUGUCAAAAUUAGUUCAAAAUGGCAUCUUUGCUACCGUUUUUGACUGAUUUUAAAUACUUGUUUUCAAAGGAAAUCAAAUAUUUAUGGGGCAUACUGUGAAGUAACAGGGCUAAAUGUAUUUUAAAUAUGACUUUUCAUGAGAAACCAUAUAAACAGAUAAUGCUGAAUGAGAAAGUAUUUUUAUUUUUUUUAUUUUGGCACACAGUUUUUAUCAUGAGACAAAACUGAAAUCUAAAAUCAGAUAAAAAAAAUUAUGUAGAUGUUCAUCUUUUGAGUUCACUAUUUAUACUGAAUACCAUUUUGUCAUGUACUAUUCUGAUUCUAUUACUGCCUAUUAUCAUGGGAGCGUGUAGUAGUAGCCUAAAUAUGUAAAAAUGAAUUUAUGUUGCUGGCUUAAAAAAAACCUGAAUUUAUAGUGCAUUGUUAACUCUUCACAUUCAUAUUAAGAUUUAUGACUGUUUGUAAUCUUAUUUUUGUUCAGCAACAUCCCAUUCAAUUCAUAUUAUUGUAAAUAUCUCUAUGCAGUAAUAUAACUUCAGAUCACAUUUGUUUCUUACCUCGCAUGUCAAAUUAGCAUUAAUUUUGCUUUUUACUGAGUACCUUUAACAAAUGUAAUUGAAUGAUAAGAUGAACCAAAUACCUAUAAAUAUUUUAGAUUAAUAUUCCAAAAUAUUGAGUUUUAUUUGAUUAAUUUAUAUUUAAAAGACAUCAGGUAGCUAAAACUUAAGGUACUUAUUUUUUUUAUGGAUCCUUAAAUACACAUUUAAGAGGCUUCUAUCAGAAGCUGUUUGUCUCCUCCAUGUCUACUCCCAGCUUUUCAACUUAUUUAUUCUGUUUCGUCAGAAUAAAAGUAUAUAUUUAAUUCAUCCACAUCCACAGACUGCAACUUCUGCUAAUUAAACCAACAUAAUUGUUAGACUUGUGGAACAAACAAACUUAACUAACCUGCUUCCAAUUGCAUGAAUUUUUAAUUAAAAGCUAAUGGAUAGGAAAACUGGGUACAAAUAAUUUUAGUAUUCAGGUAGCCAGGGAGCCUAAAGUAACACUGUUAUUGCUUACCUGUCUUUCAUUAUCCGUCAUCUUACUGGUAUUGUUCAGCUUUGAAAUGCCCUGUUCAGUAAUUGAAGAUUGUAGUUUGCUCAGCUGAUUUUAUCUGAAUACUUUUGUACUGUGUUGAAAGAAAUUGGAAUGUCAUUCUUGUUUUUGCACAAUGGAUCAUUGCAAAUUUAUUAAGAUUUUAUUUAGUUUUGAACUUUAAAUUGAAUUGUUUUUCAUUAAAUGAGUAUUUAGGGCUAAAAUGAGGGUGAUGGGCAUCUUGUACAACAAGAUAAAGAUUAUUAACAAAGCUUCCAUGCUGGAAUAUUUGGUAAUUUGAUUGAAAUAAAGCUUCAUUGCUAAACAGUUGACUUCUUAAGAUGUUCAGUAGUUCAAUGGAAGAUCUGGAUCUAGAACAUUAUUGCACCCCUCUAAUAGACAGUAAUUGAACCAGAACUUUGCACAAGUUAUCAGCUUUUAUGGAAAUGAGAGUUUUAAUACUAUUGUUUCAUUGAACCUUCUUUUUAUGUUAUUACAUAAUAUUGAUAUUUUAUGUUGAGUAUGGUUCAUUUGGAAAGUACACAUGGCAAGUUUACUGAUUCCACAUUUUCAAUACUUACAGAUCACCAAAUCAGCAUAGCCCAAUGUUUUGUUUUUGCUUCCUUUAAGGUCAGCCCCUCCACUUUGUGCAUAAAAUGAAGAAUUUUCCUUUACAUAUUCCUGAUAAUGACCUUUUUUUAAAUAGCGCUGAUAUUCCGCAUGCUAAACUUUAGUGUAGAAAUACAAGAAGCCCUUAUGAUUUGACAUUUAAUUUUUGACAUUCUUGUAAUAAUGAAGCUCGAUUUUUAUAUAUGCUUUUUAAUAAAAGUUGUACUUGUGUCUUGGUUUGUUUCAUUUUUAUUCUUCUCCUGUAGGUUACUUAGCUUCACCCACCUGAAAAAGCUUGGAUGUGCACAGCAUAUCAUGUGAUAAACCAUGAGCAGAAAUAAUUUCUGUGUGCUAUCAGACAACAUCCAAUCUUGAGAUUUUGCUGGGUUUAGACAAAAAUCACUUAUUAUAAGCAACAAAAUUCACAGCCAUUUGGUCUCGACCCUCGUUGCCCUCAUGCCUCUUAAUUUUAAUUGUUAUGUUUUAAUUUUGAGAAAAUUUAAUGUAAUUUUUUCUAAUUAUAUAACUCAAUCUGGCAUACAAAUCUGCCUGGUAAAAAUAAGCAAUUUCUGGCUUUUAAAUAACCUAGAAGGCAUUACUGGGGCCGGGGAAAAAGUUGUUUUUGGUUGGUGGGGUGGUGCUAUGUGCAGCUGAGAUUGUUUUGACAUAAACCUAUAUCCCACUCCAGAUUCAUCUUCAGCAAUUUCUUGGAAACAAAAUGCCUAUUGUAUUUGUAAUCAGUGAAGACUGGUUUUGCUCAUGGUUAAUUGAGGGCCACAGAUAUUAACCUUAUCUCGUCACAACUGUAGGAAUAAUGCAGACUGAAAUGUUUGCGCAGACACUGCUUCCAGAACUUUUAUCCAAAAGUAGGUAUAGGAAAGAUCAAGGCCACAAUUUUUUAUAACAUUUAUUUAUCCUAAAAUUAGUGCACCUUGUUUAAGAAUAGCACAGAUAUUUAAAUUUGCCCGUAAUAGAUGAAAUCUGUAUAUUUUUGUGAUUUCUGCAGGUAUUCAAAUGUAGUAGAACAUGGUUUUAUGCAACGUAUGAGGAGUGUUGAAUAUUUUUGCAGUAGAUUUCUUUUGGUGAGUUACAGCUAGUGUUUUGCACUAUUAGAUCAGUAGAUGUUCUGAUUGAGCACAGCAUAUAUCCAGUACCCUGUGUAAUUUGGUAUAUAAUGAACAAUCAUAAGAAAAGGUGCAAUGUGUAAAUUACAUGUUCAAAAUUUAUUUAGCAAAUAAGCAAGAAAUGUUGUUCUAUAUAGCUAAAUUGAGCCUGCGAUGCUGUUGUGUUGACUCUUGAUACAGUUAAUAGUUGACUUUACUUGAACCUUUGUUUAUCAAGAUGUUCUCCAUUUUUUUUCUUGUUUUCAUGUCUCUUUCACUCUCAUCGCCAAGGCAGAGUUUUGUCUCAUAUUCACUAAUACUGUCUCAAAUGAAGACUGAGAUAAUAUAGAUUUUUUUGUAUGGACAGAAACAUGGAUAUGAAAUGCCUCAUUAAUGUUUGAUUUCACUUCACAUUUUUAAAGAAAUGGUUUAGUGAUAAUGUGUUUAAGUUUUUUUUUAAGAAUUGUUUCAUAUUUGGAUGAAGUUUAUAAAGCAGUAAGGAAAAUACUUUGGAUGCUGGAAAUCUGACAGAAACAAAGCACUGGAAAUACUCAGUAGGUCUGGCAGCAUCUGUGGAUGGAGAAAUAGAGUUAAUAUAUCUUAUGAGUCAAAUUUGAACUAGUAGGUGAAUCAGUAAGGCUGCUCUGGGAUAUGUUUCUGCAAUCAACAAAUUGGAAACCAGUUUGAGUCACCAAAACUAUAUUGUGGGAGAGCUCCAAGUAUCAUGAAUUUCUUUUUUAAGUGAGACAUUUAAAUAUUUAAACAGUGUGAACUUUACAGAAGGCUUUGAUACUUCACUAUCACAACUAAUUCAUGACUAUUUAAUAAGUUUAUGCUAUAAUUAAUUAUGUCAUUAUAUUAGCACUUUUUAAAAGAACUAAUGUAAACACACUUCUUCCUUUUAUUGUGAUACAACAACUAAUAACCCAAAGUGUUGUCUUCAUUGUUAAUGAGAAUAUUAGUAGACCAUGCCUGCUGUUUCUAAUCCAAUCUCACAUUCCACUCUUGUGAUGCUGUAAUUUUAUUUUCCUUAAGUUUGCAUCGAAUUUGCACUCAUUGCGUAAAAGCUUAUUUAUUACAUCCCCCAGCACCUCUUGCCCAAUAAUUUAAAUCUGUGUCCCUUAUUCUUUACCCAGUCAAUGAAUGGGAACAGUCUUUGCUUGUCUAUCUUGUCUAAGCCUCUCGUAAGAUUUACUAGAGAUGUACAAAAUUAACUAAAUAUAAUUGACUCCAAGGAUACACCCUUAAUAACUCAAAUCCCUCCAACCUGGAACCAUUCUGGUGCAUCUCCUCUGUACCUUCUGAAGGAUCCUCACAUUGUUCCUAAAAUCUGGUGAGCAGAACUGGACACACUACUUUAGAUUAGGCCUUUAUGUAAAAAAAAACACAAUUUCUCUGCUUUUGCACUCAGACUUAUGAAGUACAAGUUUCACUUCGAGUGCCCUGCCACUUUCUGUGCACAUGAACUCUCAGAUCCCUCUGUGCUUGCAUAACUCUUUUGAUUUGUGGCAUCAAGUCUAAAAUGCCUCUCCUUAUUGCUUCUGCUAACAUACAUUACCUCACACUUGUAUCAAAUUCCAUAUGUUACUUGUCUGCCCAUUUUGCCAGUGUGCCUUGUUAAUUGAAAUCAUCCCCACUGAAAGCUAUUUGCCACUCACUCUCCAAAACUCUGGCACUUUCCCAGUAUCAACCAAAAUUUGAAAGAUUAUGGCGAGCCUUUCAGCUAGUUCUACCCUCAUUCCAUUAGUGACCUGGAAUGUGAGCCAUCAGGAUCAAGUGACUUACUAACUCUCACAGUUAGCCUUUCUAGUUACUCACGCCUAACAAUUUUCAUGCCGUUCAUUACCUCUAUCAUUCCCCACUUCUUCUGAUGUUUUGUCAGCAUCUUGCACUUUACUAAACACUGGAUACAGAGUGCUCUAAUUAUUCCUGCCUUACCCGGAGCUCCAAAACACCUAUCACCGUCUUUGUUCAUAAAAAGACCAACCCUAUUAUCUCUUGCUAUCCAUUUGCAUCCUAAUAGAAUUUUUUGUUCCCUUUUAAUAUUAGUUGCCAUUUUGUUCUGAUUCUUUACUCAGCCAGUUGUAUAUCUCCCCUCAACUUAUUUUAUUUGGCCUGAUUCUUGCUUGAAGAGUUCAUUUGACGUGCAUAAUACACACUUAUUUUUGUUUCAUCAUAUUCCCUUUCCCUCAUCCUCCAUAGAGUCCUGAAUCGAGAUCUUAUACCAUGUGAGUUCUACUUAAGAUUGUUCAUUGCUCUUCUGCAUUUCUAAUCUAAGCCUUAUAAUAUGGUGAUCAUUAAAUCAAAUGUUUGUCCAUAUGCAAUUAGUUCAUCCAAAUCCCUAACACAACAUGUAGAAAAGCGUAUCAUCUUAUUGGAUGGAGGGCGUACUCACCAAAGAAGUUCUCCUGCACCCAUUACAAAAAUCUUAUCCUCAGUCCUGAUUUCCAUUUAUUUAUGUCUUUCUCACUGUUGUAAGGUCUAUAGAACAUUAAACGUGUGAUCAUCAUAUCUUUCUUGUCUGUCAACCGCAAUCAUGUAGAUUGUCAAGGACGACGACAUCUUUCCAACAUUCCAUCAUUGAACUGUACUGCCACAACUCUUUCUUUUUGCCUUUGCCAACUAUAAUUUUCUAACACUUCCUAUCCCUGUUCUUUGCUUUUGAAAAAUUGUGUCGUCCAUGUUGAAUAUGAAAUGUAAAGUUACUGACUUGAAGGAAUACAAAUGCUUACUAUACAUGCUGAAAGCAUAACAUUGACCAGAACUUGAGAAAAUAGGGUUGGGUCUCCCAUGUGGUAUAGUUUUACCCCUCCCUCACAUUAUAAGAUGAGAUACAAAUCUCUGCAAAAUUGUUGAAUGCAGAACUGAACAGAGGAAAUCUCAGCUGGAAGACAGAAAAGAACUGCAAGUAAAUUUGUAAAUGUUAUUAUUUCAGGUUGGUGCAGAGAUGGUAACCGGUCUUUUCUCUUUUCAAGUGCUGACCGAAGCCCUGUUUAAAGCCAGAAGUUUUAUUUUGAAUUACAGAAUUUCCCAGCCAAUGAUAAUGAAAACAUCGGCUAUUUUCCAUCCGAGGUCAUAUUUCAGCACUUUUUAUGGAUAACGACAGAGUAUCUUUGGUGGAGGUUUGAGAAUUCUCAGACCUUCUUCUGGUCCUUGUCGGUGUACUGAAAUCUAGUACCUUUCAAGAGUUAUCACAAUUGAUCAGAAACAACAUUGUGCUCCCUCAUCCAGACACAUGUUGCCAGAAAGUGUUUUUAAAAGUAUAAAUUCAAGGUAUGGCUUUGUUAUCCAAUAUACUCACUAUAUAAUUGAGACAACUUGUUACUUGUUGCAAAAUGAGUCUUUUUGAAGUUUUCCUGCUGUGGUGUAAAGACAGCACCAAAUUAUAUCAUUGUUAUGCUUCAGUAAUAGUUACUAACAGCACUGACAUUGGUGGUUUGGGAGAACAUUAUUUGCAUCGGUGUUUAAUUGUUGAAACUAAUUGUAUUUUGCUUUUGUUGGGACUUUGUAUACUUUGGCAAUUAUAUUUCUGUAAAUUACCAUCUAAACAAAUAAAAAGUUAAACUUGUAA
Long non-coding RNA from Rhincodon typus (whale shark), 11157 nucleotides. RefSeq lists it as uncharacterized. The transcript has 2 exons. Lineage: Eukaryota; Metazoa; Chordata; Chondrichthyes; Orectolobiformes; Rhincodontidae. The record is from RefSeq and is a predicted model, not a curated record.